AUUGAACGCUGGCGGCAGGCUUAACACAUGCAAGUCGAACGGUAGCAGGAGAAGGCUUUCUUUCUUGCUGACGAGUGGCGGACGGGGGAGUAAUGCUUGUGAGUCUGUCUUAUUUAGGGGGAUAACUAGGGGGAACUGUAACGAAUACCGCGUAAUAUCUUCGGAUUAAAGAGUGGGACUUUUAGCCAUUCUCCAUGAGAUGAUCCCAAGUGGGAUUAGUUAGUUGGUGGGGUAAAGGCCUACCAAGCCGACGAUCUCUAGCUGGUCUGAGAGGAUGACCAGCCACACUGGAACUGAGACACGGUCCAGACUCCUACGGGAGGCAGCAGUGGGGAAUAUUGCGCAAUGGGGGCAACCCUGACGCAGCCAUGCCGCGUGAAUGAAGAAGGCCUUCGGGUUGUAAAGCUCUUUUGGUGGUGAGGAAGGCCAAUAUGUUAAUAGCAUACUAGAUUGACGUUACCCAAAGAAGAAGCACCGGCUAACUUCGUG
RNAcentral lists this ribosomal RNA (489 nucleotides) under uncultured bacterium. RNAcentral describes it as "partial 16S ribosomal RNA". It matches the Rfam family "Bacterial small subunit ribosomal RNA", at positions 30 to 507 of the family's 1533-position model. The record is from RNAcentral.